AUGGAGAUGAGGCAAGAUGCAGACAUGGAUCAACUUGUUAAAGAAGUAAUGGAGAAUGAUAUGGUUCUACGAGCUAUUGUUGGUGAAGCUGAGAUGCUGAUAUUCCCAUCUAUUCUACUGCCUGAGCAACACCAAACUUUCCAAGGAAAACCCUACCUGUGGGCGGUAUUUAAGCGCAGAAUAGUGGAAGAGGAACAACAUGGCAAAGGACGUUGUGCACAGGAGAAGGGAAAACAGCUGGCUUCACUUUUCAGUGUGGGAGAAGGAUUAAACAUUGAUGCUGGACUAGAAGCUUCUGAGGAACCGGAGAUGCAAGGCAUGGAGCCGGAACAAAAUCCCAAGUUGGCUCGACCGAACGCGCCGAGUCCGACAACUAAAGCUCCUACCACGGCUGCAGCUACAAUGUCUGCAAACCACUGUCAAGACCACUCAAACAUGGCUGCUCCUACAGGAGCUUUGUUUGGUUUUGUGGUUCAGCGAACCCCGAGACUUGAGCAACUCAUCCAAGAGAUGCAACGCGAAGGUGCUGUGAUGGUUGCAAUGCAAGGGCAGAUGAUAGGGCCAGGCAUUGGCUUGUGCAGGCAGUAG
This 588-nucleotide ribosomal RNA is filed under the name Triticum aestivum (bread wheat). Its description in RNAcentral is "partial small subunit ribosomal RNA". The record is from RNAcentral. Lineage: Eukaryota; Viridiplantae; Streptophyta; Magnoliopsida; Poales; Poaceae.